Molecule: unclassified non-coding RNA, 8335 nt
Filed under: Leishmania donovani
Lineage: Eukaryota; Euglenozoa; Kinetoplastea; Trypanosomatida; Trypanosomatidae
Description: gene:LdHU3.24.2390(CDS-product:cyclin_11_putative )
Source: RNAcentral
UUGCACGCGCGGAGUAGAGCACACAGCAGGCGUUGCCGCCAACGCUUUUUGCCGUCGUUGCUUGCUUUGGUCGGUGGUUUCCGUGUCAUUGUGUUUCCCAUCCUGUGUGCGCGCAUUUCUCGCUCUCCCUCCCUCUCUACUUGUGUGCCGGUCUUCUCGCAGGCACGUGCGUGUUUCUGUGCGUGUGUGUGUGAGUAUGUGUGUGUGUGUGUGCUCUUCCACUCUUCCACGACACCACCACUCUUUCUCCGCCACCGCAUCCUUGACCUCAUCGCUCGUCGUCAUAGAGCACAACUCAUCCGCGACCUUCUCCAACCACCGAGACACGCACACGCGCACGAAUGCGAAGACGCCUCACACUUCUUCCCUCGACUGUGACACACCCAACGUACACACACACACACACAUACCACGCACGUAAAUACAGAUCCCGAAGCACGCCACAGCACGCGCAUAGCAUACGCACACACCUCUUUCUCGAAAAGUGCACCCACAAGAGAAGCCGAGCGAGCGGACGAGCAGUCGUGUGUGCAAGUUCACAAAUCUGACCCCGACGCCUUCUCUCUCUGUCGCCCUCUUGUUCAACACCUUGCAUUUCUUGCGCUUCACUGUUGUUCUAGCCGGUGUCGCUGUUGUCGCUGCUGCAGGAGGCGAAGCCGAUCAACGCCGCGAGCGAUCGUGUGGGAGCAACCGAAACGGAAAACUGUAGAGAGGGCACAGUGAAGCGUAGUAACCCACGCUUGUCUUUCUCCCUCUCCUUCUCAAGGCUGCACGUUUGCGUGUGUGUGUGUGUGUGUCGUAGCGGCCAUUGUAGUCACAUCUGUUUCUUUUCGAAUCACUUGCGCUGUAGCAAGGGUACCAUCGUGGGUGUGGUGUUGCUGUUGUUGCGUAGUGGCGGUGCAGCCUCCCUCGCUUCUCCCACCUCCUCCCUCCCUCCUUCUCCCUACGCCAUUCACCAGCCUUCCUCCCUUCUCCCUUCUUAUCUCGUUUUGUUGUUCGUUCUCCUUUGUGUAGACUUGUUUUUGAGAGAGAGUGUGUAUGUGUGGUGGCUUCCCCCUCCCCCCCCUUGUGUGUACGUGUGUGCCGCCGCCUUCAUCUGUAAGGCCUUAUCGGUGCAGACAUCGAGGCUUUGGUGCUCUUCUUCGUUUGUUGCUCGUCGUUGUUGCUCUCCCUCCCUCUCUAUAUACAUAAGCACUUCUAUCUAUACAUAUACGCGUUGGUUCCCCUUUUUUAUUGUUGUUGUUCGUGCGUGUAUGUGUGUGUGUGGUAGUAGUGGUGGUGGUGGUGGUUUUAUUUUGUUUUUGUUUUCACACAGUCCUCUUCGCUCUCUUGUCUCCUUAUACAGCCACCUUCACCGUGUUUUCUGCUUCUCUUACGUCGCUUCAUCUCCGUGGGCCCCUUCUUUGUUGUCGCGUCCCUUUUCAUCUAUCCUUCUUUGCUUGUUGUACGCGCGCGCGCGUGUGCGAGCGAGAGAGACAAGGAAGAACACACACGUACACACACACACACACACACACACACACACACACAUAACGCGAACAACGAGAACGUGAGGGCCAUCUCCCGUUUCACGCCUCCGACCCCCGCCCCCAUCUCCCCCUGUUUGUUCUCUCUUUUUCUCGGCUCUUUUCGUUUGUUCGGCUUUGAGCGUGGCCACCCACCCCCUUCCCCCUUUUCCUUGACGAGGCGUGCGCAGUCACGUACGCACCUGGACGCAGGCACACACCAAGAGGCGCGCAACCUUUCAUCUUUCACUCCUUUGGGUGUCUCCUCUUCCCAGGCUGCUGCUGCGUCUCUUCUCUCACCUUUUCGCCUCUCUUUGAGCACUUCAUAUUUUGCUUCCCUCCUCUGUCUUCCGUUUCUUGUGUCGUGCGCCCUCCCUCCCCCUCCCGCACCACCGCAACCACCACCCUGCUCGCUGGCCCACUCUUCCUUCGCUGAAUCAACGCCAGCUUGUCGCCAUGGCGUCCCUUGGCGCAGAGCACAAGCUGGAGUGUAAGAGCAUGGUGCUUACGCUCCACACCCUCUUCGACAUUCCACGCGACCUCGUCUCGCUCCACUCACGCCGCGAAAGUGUCGAGCUCGUGCUGAAGCCGACGGCGAAGUACUACUCGGAGAACAAGCGUUUCUGCAAGCUGGACUUGCCGGAACAGCAUGUCGCCUUCUCACCGUCCUCUAUCAUCUUCAAGCACGACCGCUUUGUUCUGGACUUCGAGUCAGCGCCACCGCCAUGCGGCCUCUCCUUCGCGCGAUCGUCGACACCGCACGGCGCUGCGUCCUUCGCGAACAGCAUGCCGAGCAACUUCUUGGACUCGCUUGCGGUGAACACCACGCUCACCGCGCCAGGGGUGGCGAGCAGCACUGGUAAGAUGCCUCUACACUUUGAGAGUGACGCGCGCGCUGGUGGCGCCGUUCCUCCCAAGCCUCGCCUCGCGUUCGGUGAGAGUGGCGACGAGGACCAGGACGUCAACCUCAGGAGCCCCAGUAGCCUCAAGCUGAGGACCUCAACGACCACCUUGUUCAGUGCCAUGCCGCCGAACCAGAUCGUCCUGCGCUACCCCACACGCUCAGAUCUUAAAGUCAUCGUCGAGGUGAUGGUGGGCGCACGACAGCGCCGUCACGACUCCUCUGCCGUGCGCUGGAUUACGCCAUCGUGGGCGGACCGAUCCAUCGCAGGCACUAUCAGCACCUUCGCCGCCGCUGACGGGGAAGUGAUGCGCCACAAGCUUGUCAACCGCUUCGUUGGGCUGACGGUGGGGCAUCUCUCCUGCACGAUGGAGCUGCCACACGCAGCCGACGAUCUGCGUGAGGUGACGGCGUUUGCCCCAACGGCGAUCGCAGACGCGGCGGAGCGCCUGUGCAAUGACUAUGAGCGCCUACGCCGCUUUCACACAGCGGACACGGAAGAGCAGCUGAAUGCUGUCCGCAGCGAACGCCCAGUUCGGCUUCGUGACUUUGUGGAGCAGCUCUCGACCGGCGCGAGCGAGUCCUCCAUCUACCGCGGCCUGCUGCUGGAGGUGUGCCCCAGCUUCUUUGUGCGCCGCAUCCGUCGAAUUUGCGCCAUGUACCCGCCCAUCCCGCAGAGCAGCUCCUGGGUGCGUACGGAUGCCGAAACGCUUGCCGCCGAGUACACUGGGCGCGAGAUGUCGCUCAUCCGCAACCUCUGCGCCGAACUUGGCCCCGACUUGAGCGCUAUCUCGCCGCGCAACCGCUUCCUAUCCUAUACCAGCGUGCAGCCCCUUGGCGACGAACUUUGGAAGUGGAUAAAGGACAACUACGCUCACCAGGAGAACGACAUCCUCGACUACGAACCGGACAUAUUUAUGGAGUCGCUCGCGCUGCACUAUGGCACGCCGGAGCCUGCGCCGAUUCAAUACGGUUUUUCGCCCAUCUCGUAUGAGCUGGACAGGCGCGCGUACUUCUGCGACUCGCUGCGCUUCCCGGUAAAUCGCGAGCACCACCGCUAUCGCGAUGAGGCGAUGGCGGCGCGCCAGAUGCGUGUGCCGCUGCAGCUGACGCCCUGCGAACGUCCGCUGCGCCCCAUUCGGCCAACAUCGCGCAGCGUCGGCGAGAUCGACAUUCUCCUAGAGAAGUACAAACCAGAGUUCGUGCAGCUCGUGCCGUCCAUUGCAGACGCCAUGGAGUGUGUGACACAGCAGAACGAACGUCUGCUACGAGAGCUGCUGCGCGAGUCACAACCUGCUGCCGGCGCAGCCGCGGCGAACGCAGGCACGCGUGAGCGGAUGCGCUCGCUCCCCUAUGAGGUGUGUCCGCACGGGUUUCAUCUCUUUCAGUCAGAGCGGCCCAGUGGGUCGUACGUGGCGCUGCUGACGCGCUUCGCAGAGUACACGUACAUCUCCGUCAGCACCCUUCUAGCAUCCGUAAUCUACCUGGACCGGCUGUGUCUCCGGCAUCCACGACUUCUGCUUACGGCGCGCAACAUCGAGAAGCUGCUUGUCGCCGCCGUGCGUGUUGCCAGCAAGGUUGUCGACCUCCGCAGCGUCAACAACAAGAACUUCGCGUCUGUUUUCAGCGUGCCGGUGCAGGACAUGAACGAGUUAGAGUCGGAGUUUCUCAAGCUCAUGAACUUCGACUUCUUCCUCUCGCCGAAGGAGUUCAACAACUACGCUCACCUGGUGCAGCUGCCGGCGGCAUACAUGCAGAUGCCGUCGAGCGUGCGCCUGUCGAGCACAGCGAGCGCGAACGGCGCUGUAGAAAGCAGCGCACCGCCGCCGUCGGCUUCGCACGAGGCUGCAGACCACGUAGCGGAUGUAAGCCACAGUGGGAACGGCGCGGCAUUGAGACUGGAGAGCAACACGAACAGCAGCAACACUAACAAAAUGUUGCUGAACACGCCGGCCGUCGCCACCCCUGCUCCCCCUCGGGCGCCGUCCCCGCAAUCACAGCAGCAAGGGCGCAGCAGUAGCGGCGCCUACAGCGUCGACACCUCGGUAGCCGCGCAGCGAGCACUACUAUCGAGCAAGCCAUCAUCCUCAGCGGACGGCUCGACUGCGACAGGAGUUGAGGCUGGUGGGAAGUACACCGAUGGCAGCGGCGGCGCUGCCGGGCACCGCUAUAUUCGCAGCGGAGUGAGAGGAGGAGGUGGUGGUGGCGGCGGUAGAGGAUCCGUUCCAGCCAACGGCUACGGGAGUGGCAGCAGUGCCAGAAGUGCUGGCGGCGGUGGCAGCGGGGCCACGAGUGGCAGCAAGGCACCAUCGGCGGAGUUCGCAAGCGGGACGCGGGUGCUGAGCAUUCCCUGAAAACCACCCCGAAAAGGGCCCGUGCCGUCCUCACCCCUCCCCGACUCACGCUGGUGCGGAAUCGACGUUCGAACAAAAAGUGCAGAGCCAAUGUUAGGUGCUGAUGCAAUGCUGUGAGCGAAGCACCGAUGCGCAGAUGCGUUGAGCAGCCGCACUGGGCGGGCCCAGUAAGGUGCGACGAUCAGAAAAAGGGCAAGCAUAUGCAUAGAUGAUGCAAAACACAAACGAAAGCCCCCCCCCGCCGCCGCCCUCCUUCCUUGUCAGGAAAAAAAGAAAGAGGGGACCUUUGUCAAGUUAGAGCGAGCGGUGGCGCUGUAGGUGUGGUUCUCGAGUGAGGGGCUAGAGGGUGAACACGAGGGGAGGAGCGGGAGAGUCCGUGAGCUGUGGCCAGAGAGAGAGCUCAGUUAAUGCAGAACGUGAUAUGAAUUCAUGGAGGCGUCUGCUGCCUUCAUUUUUUUCUUUCGCCAUUUUAGCGGGUGGAGGAGAGGGGGGUAUCUGCUCUCUAUGCAUGUGCCUGUGUGUGUGUGUUGCGGCGCUCUUUUCUUCUCUCGAUAUCGGUAUCGUGACGCAUCACACCACCCCUCCCCCCUCUCCCUCUCUCACGGCUCGGCUCUGUCGUGGUCACCCACUUCCCUGUCCCCAUCGCCGCGUGUGCUUGCGUCUGUGUAUCUCACCUAUCGCACAUAUGCACUUUUCUCCCUCCUCCGCUUUACUCUCUUUUUUUUAGGCUUUCAACUCGUUUCUGUUGUGUAUUUAUUGUUCUCCUUUCACGCGUGUGCGCACGCGCCUGAGUGCCUCCCUGUCUGUCCGUUCGUCGGUCCUGUAUGUUUCUAUAUUUCUGUACAGAUAUAUAUAUGUAUAUAUAUAUAUAUAUAUCGUCGUACGCGCGUAUGUGUAAAGAAGAGCGUUUCGGUGUCCUUAUUUUUCUUCCCUCUCCCCCUUUUUUUUGUCCUCUCGUUUCACUGCUUUGUUGUGUUUGGGUCAUCAUUACCGCCACUUCAUCCUCCCCCUCCUCCCCUCUCCUUUGCGUCCGCCUUCUCAUUCUCUCUCUCUCUCUCGCGUUGUCUCUCUGUCGAAAUCGUGGCUGUGUAAUGUGCCGUCUGCUGUCGUCGGCUCGGGUGGCAAGGAUGUGUGCGUGGAAGGGAGGGGGGUGAUUGAUGGUUUCGCUUGUAGUUCGUGUAUGAUGUUUGCUAUCUCCCAAACAGUUCGUUUUCCUCUUCAAGGUCUUUUUUGUCGGUUUUCUGUUUUGCUGUUUUAAUUUUUAUUUCGUUCACUUCUGCUGUUUUACCGCAACCUUCAGCAUUCGCCUGAUGGCCAACACGCACACACAGCAAUAGCAACAGCGUAGCUUUUUGUACUUUUCUGUACUGUACUCGAUUUCUCUUUCCUGAUUGUAUUUGAUUGUUUUCGGCAUCGUUUCCUUCUCUCUUUCCUUUCUCGUUGUAUUUGUGGGAAGAGCUACUACCACUGCACCCUCAGUCUCCCCUCUCUCUUCACGUCUCUUACCCGCUCUCUCCAUCCCUCCCGCCGCAUCACUAGCCGGGAGUUGUGGCACCGUUGAUGCUGUUGUCAUUAUCUGCACUGGUUGCUUUCCUUUCUCUUCUCCAUUCAUACACGUAUCCCCCCCUCAUCUGUGCGUGCGUUCAUGUGUGGUUGCCGUAGCUCCUCUUCUUCACCCUGCUCCGACCUGUUGGCAACCCCCUUUUACCUUCUAUCCCCGCCCCAUUCCAACGUCUCUGCCACCGUCCGAAUGCGUGCGUGCUGGUGAAGAAAAGAGAGGAAGGGGCUGAAGAAGGUGGUAUGUGUAUGGGAGAAGACUGGAGGGAAGCAGCGGCUCGUUUGUGUGUGUGUGUUUCCACAUACACACGCAGAGAACCCUUUUCUCUUCCGUCGCCCCUAACCUUCGUUGACUCCCCUCCCCCUUCCCUCCUCCUCCUCUCUGGUGACGCGGCACUACAAAAAAAAACACAACAUACAUGUACAGUCCAUGCCCUUCUCUCUUUGUUUUCUCUUGUAUUUGUGAGAGUGUGUAUUUUUAAUGUAUGCUCGUUGGCGUGUUGGUCAGUGUGCAGGCCCAACCCUUUCCCUUCCUCUCUCCCUCCUCCAACCCACCCCAUCCCCAUUCACUCGUCUCUCGCACACCUUUUUCCCUUCGCCUCUAUUUUCUCUUGUCUCCUCUUGCAGCGCUUGCAAGCGCUCCCCCCUCCCACCUCGUGUUUGGCUUUUGUGUGUUUGUGUUGUCGCGGUGGCGACAAGCCGUGUUCAAACGGGCCACGCUCUCUUCAUGUUUUCCCCAUUUUUUUUCUGCUCGCGCGCGUUUGUGUGCGUGCGCGUGUGCGUGUUCCAUCCCUUCAUCGCCUUCCUUCUUUGUGUUCCGCUUCUGCGCCCCACUCCUCCUUCAUUGGCCGCAUUGGUUAUUUUUCGUUUCGCUUCUCCCUUUCCGCCGCCGCCGCCGCCGCCACCACCUCCCCCCUGCAUGUUUGUCUGCCCAGCGUGUCUCCCCUCCUCUUCCUUUGCUUUGCCUCUCGCAUUGGCGUGGGCGCACUGAUGGCCGCGGACACCUCGGCGUGGCAUGAGGGUCCACUACCCCUCUCCGUAUGGGGAAGCCGAGCAGCCUCGCCCGCCCCCCCCCCACCUCUGUCAAUGCACAACCACCUCUGGUGGGUGGCAGGGCCAGGUGCCUGCGGCGUAGGGGGAGGCCAGUGCGAUGUACCGCCACUGAUGCCGGCGGUCAGGUCCUGGAUGGCGCUUCAUCGGAGAGAGCUGCGACAGUGAAUACGCUUGCACUAUCCACAUGAUGGGCAGCGUGUCGACGUGACUCGACCGCAUCUCAGUCGGCCCUUGCUGCCCGCUGGUGGGUGAGCCUGAGCCAUCCCAAGCGAUGCGCCAGCUGGCGACCUGCUCAGCGUGGAGUGGCGGGCAGAGUUUGAGGCAGGGGCCGUGCUCCGAUGGCUGAGUCGGCGCAUCGCUGUAGCGCGUGUGCCUACGGCUGCUUUGCACCACGCGAUGGGUGGCGUGUGGGCACAGCGUCCUUUGACCUCACGUUGUGUGCGGCAGCGAAAAAAAAACGGGCACGCGCCCAAGACGAUUUUUUACCCUUUCUCUAUGUGUAUUCAUAUGCGUGUGUGCGUGUUUGACCCUCCCCCUCUCCCUCCUCCUCCUCUCCACCCCCACCCCCAUCCCCGUCUUCCCGACCGUCGAAGGAGGGAGGCGCGCGCUCUACCCACAAAAGAAAAUCAACAAAAAAACCGGAACUGUCCCUCUUGUCUCCACGCGUCUCCGACGCUCGGCGACGCUGUGACGCCCCACAUUGUGUGUUUGCUUGUUUGGUCUCAUCUACCCUUUUCCCUGCCGCCUUAUCUCAUUGUGUCCAUAUGUGUGUGUGGUACUGUUUGGUGUUUUCGUGUCCGUAUAUAUGUGUGCAACUUGUCUGUGUUCGCUCUGCGCUGAUCUUUCCUCGAUGUUUCCGUCUGCCCCUCUCCCUCUGUGUGUGUGUGUGUGUGUGUGUUCGACGGCGUCUUGAUCUCUCUUGUGUUGCGUGUUUCUCGUUUUCCCCUGCAUGGAUCUUCUCUUCU